CCUACGGGUGGCUGCAGUGGGGAAUAUUGCACAAUGGGCGCAAGCCUGAUGCAGCCAUGCCGCGUGUGUGAAGAAGGCCUUCGGGUUGUAAAGCACUUUCAGCGGGGAGGAAGGCGGUGAGGUUAAUAACCUCAUCGAUUGACGUUACCCGCAGAAGAAGCACCGGCUAACUCCGUGCCAGCAGCCGCGGUAAUACGGAGGGUGCAAGCGUUAAUCGGAAUUACUGGGCGUAAAGCGCACGCAGGCGGUCUGUCAAGUCGGAUGUGAAAUCCCCGGGCUCAACCUGGGAACUGCAUUCGAAACUGGCAGGCUAGAGUCUUGUAGAGGGGGGUAGAAUUCCAGGUGUAGCGGUGAAAUGCGUAGAGAUCUGGAGGAAUACCGGUGGCGAAGGCGGCCCCCUGGACAAAGACUGACGCUCAGGUGGGAAAGCGUGGGGAGCAAACAGGAUUAGAUACCCCAGUAGUC
This 465-nucleotide ribosomal RNA is filed under the name uncultured Klebsiella sp. RNAcentral's name for it is "bacterial SSU rRNA". It matches the Rfam family "Bacterial small subunit ribosomal RNA", at positions 338 to 795 of the family's 1533-position model. The record is from RNAcentral. Lineage: Bacteria; Pseudomonadati; Pseudomonadota; Gammaproteobacteria; Enterobacterales; Enterobacteriaceae.